RNAcentral lists this ribosomal RNA (497 nucleotides) under uncultured bacterium. RNAcentral describes it as "partial 16S ribosomal RNA". It matches the Rfam family "Bacterial small subunit ribosomal RNA", at positions 28 to 507 of the family's 1533-position model. The record is from RNAcentral.
GAUGAACGCUGGCGGCGUGCCUAAUACAUGCAAGUCGAGCGAACAGACGAGGAGCUUGCUCCUCUGACGUUAGCGGCGGACGGGUGAGUAACACGUGGAUAACCUACCUAUAAGACUGGGAUAACUUCGGGAAACCGGAGCUAAUACCGGAUAACAUGUUGAACCGCAUGGUUCAACAGUGAAAGACGGUUUUGCUGUCACUUAUAGAUGGAUCCGCGCCGCAUUAGCUAGUUGGUAAGGUAACGGCUUACCAAGGCAACGAUGCGUAGCCGACCUGAGAGGGUGAUCGGCCACACGGGAACUGAGACACGGUCCAGACUCCUACGGGAGGCAGCAGUAGGGAAUCUUCCGCGAUGGGCGAAAGCCUGACGGAGCAACGCCGCGGGAGUGAAGAAGGUCUUCGGAUCGUAAAACUCUGUUAUUAGGGAAGAACAAAUGUGUAAGUAACUAUGCACGUCUUGACGGUACCUAAUCAGAAAGCCACGGCUAACUACGUG